Molecule: long non-coding RNA, 391 nt
Filed under: Equus asinus (donkey)
Lineage: Eukaryota; Metazoa; Chordata; Mammalia; Perissodactyla; Equidae
Description: lncRNA (ENSEASG00005036595.1)
Source: RNAcentral
AGCGAGUGCUCGGCGUCGCUCCGCAGCUUGGAUUUAUUUCAUAGGUUUGGAUGAGAGACCUCAUGUGGGCUUCAGGUCCUCAUCUUCAUGAGAAUUGGGACUGGACCCCCAGCAGCGAGGAGCCUUGAAGGCUGGAGAGAAAGAGUUUCCAUCAUGGAUCUCUCCUGAGGGAAUAGUCCAGAUUUCCUGAGUCGUUUCCAGGUCGAGGUCCUGUAUGCCUCUUCUGUUCUCAGGACCAGUUCCUGUCAGAGUGGGAAGACCUGAUCUUGGAUAUUUGGUUUUGCUCCUUUGUGAAAAGCUGUAAAGACAAUUUUCCACCCCUAGCUGUAAAGAACUCUUGGUGGGAAAUUAUAAUUCCUUUAGGGAGAUUAAAAUCUCAUUUGGAUUACCC